CAUACGAGAUGUAGCCGUGACUGGAGUUCAGACGUGUGCUCUUCCGAUCUCCCGAAACCGAGUGAUCUAGCCAUGACCAGGUUGAAGUUGGGGUAAAACCCGAUGGAGGACCGAACCGACCCCCGUUGAAACGUUGGCGGAUGAGUUGUGGCUAGGGGUGAAAUUCCAAUCGAACCCGGAGAUAGCUGGUUCUCCCCGAAAUAGCUUUAGGGCUAGCGUCGAGAGAAGAGUUGCGUGAAGGUAGAGCACUGAAUAUGUGAUGGCCCCAUCUCGGGGUACUGAGCAUAAUCAAACUGCGAAUGUCACGCCAACAUGCUCGGCAGUCAGACAGCGGGUGAUAAGGUCCGUUGUCAAGAGGGAAACAGCCCAGACCAUCAGCUAAGGUCCCAAAAUGUAUGCUAAGUGGAAAAGGAUGUGGAGAUGUACAGACAACUAGGAGGUUGGCUCAGAAGCAGCCAUCCUUUAAAGAGUGCGUAACAGCUCACUAGUCGAAUGACUCUGCGCCGAUAAUUUACCGGGGCUAAGCAUACUACCGAAGCUAUGGAUCCCAAGGGAUGGUAGGGGAGCGUUCCAUGAACGGAGAAGUACGACCGAAAGGACGUGUGGAGAUCAUGGAAGAGAGAAUGCCGGUGUGAGUAGCGGAACGUGGGUGAGAAUCCCACGCACCGAAAACCCAAGGUUUCCAGAGGAAGGUUCGUCCGCUCUGGGUAAGUCGGGACCUAAGGCGAGGCCGAAAGGCGUAGUCGAUGGACAACAGGUAGAGAUUCCUGUACCCGUAUAUAUGUGAAGGAAUGACGGAGAGAGGAAGCUGCAGCCAGCGGCUGGAAGAGCUGGUGCAAGCGAGAUAUCGGGAUGGCAGGCAAAUCCACCAUCCGAAACGAGAAGGCGUGAAGCGUACGGAAAGCUACGGCGAGUACGGAAGGCAGUGGAGGAACUUCCAAGAAAAGUUUCUAACGUUAAGUAUAUAUGGCCCGUACCGAAAAUGGACACACAUGGGUGAGGAGAGAAUCCUAAGGUGAGCGAGAGAACUAUAGCUAAGGAACUCUGCAAAAUGACUCCGUAACUUAGGGAGAAGGAGUGCUCAUAGAGAUAUGAGCCGCAGUGAAACGGCCCAAGCGACUGUUUACCAAAAACACAGCUCUCUGCUAAGCCGCAAGGCGAAGUAUAGGGGGUGACGCCUGCCCGGUGCUGGAAGGUUAAGGGGAGGGGUUAACGCAAGUAAAGCCCUGAACUGAAGCCCCAGUAAACGGCGGCCGUAACUAUAACGGUCCUAAGGUAGCGAAAUUCCUUGUCAGGUAAGUUCUGACCCGC
RNAcentral lists this ribosomal RNA (1311 nucleotides) under human gut metagenome. RNAcentral's name for it is "bacterial LSU rRNA". It matches the Rfam family "Bacterial large subunit ribosomal RNA", at positions 652 to 1991 of the family's 2925-position model. The record is from RNAcentral.